RNAcentral lists this unclassified non-coding RNA (331 nucleotides) under soil metagenome. RNAcentral's name for it is "partial contains 5.8S ribosomal RNA, internal transcribed spacer 2, and large subunit ribosomal RNA". The stretch from base 1 to 120 matches the Rfam family "5.8S ribosomal RNA", at positions 35 to 154 of the family's 154-position model. The record is from RNAcentral.
GAUGAAGAACGCAGCGAAAUGCGAUAAGUAAUGUGAAUUGCAGAAUUCAGUGAAUCAUCGAAUCUUUGAACGCACAUUGCGCCCGCUAGUAUUCUGGCGGGCAUGCCUGUUCGAGCGUCAUUUCAACCAUCAAGCCCCCGGCUUGCGUUGGAGCCCUGCGGCUGCCGCAGGCUCCCAAAUCCAGUGGCGGGCUCGUCGUCGUACCGAGUGCAGUAAACAUCCUCGCUCAGGGAACGUGACGGGUUCUUGCCGUGAAACCCCCCACAUAUCAAGGUUGACCUCGGAUCAGGUAGGAAUACCCGCUGAACUUAAGCAUAUCAUAAGCGGAGGA